CUGCGCGGCAGCGCGGGUGCGCAGGGCGGCAGGACUGCAGGGCGCGGCCUGCACCCCCUGCUGCAGAGGAGGACAGGACCUGCCGCUGCUGCACAGGUGCAGAGGAAGAGGGCCACGACCACCGCCCACCGCCCAGAUUUCAAAAAAGUGAAAACUUUUUGGAGAAGAAUGAGAUUGAAGUGCCGGAUAUGAACGAGGAAAUAAAUGUCAGAGGGACAUCUAGACGUAGGAAGCAAAAGAUAACAAACAUGCAUCACUAUUAUGUUGAGAUUUUUCUUGUCGCCAUUGAUGCCAUCUUGAUUGAGUUGAACCAUUGAUUUAGUGAAAUCAGUUCAGAGUUAUUAGUAUGUAUGGCUUGUUUUAACCCAAGAAACUCCUUCUCUAAUUUCAAUGUGGCUAAACUCAUGAGACUUGCUGAAA
This is a long non-coding RNA of Panicum virgatum (switchgrass), 420 nucleotides long. RefSeq lists it as uncharacterized. The record is from RefSeq and is a predicted model, not a curated record. Lineage: Eukaryota; Viridiplantae; Streptophyta; Magnoliopsida; Poales; Poaceae. The transcript is spliced from 2 exons.